AACGAACGCUGGCGGCAUGCCUAACACAUGCAAGUCGAACGAGACCUUCGGGUCUAGUGGCGCACGGGUGCGUAACGCGUGGGAACCUGCCCUUAGGUUCGGAAUAACUCCCCGAAAGGGGUGCUAAUACCGGAUAAUGUCUUCGGACCAAAGAUUUAUCGCCGUUGGAUGGGCCCGCGUUGGAUUAGCUAGUUGGUAGGGUAAAAGCCUACCAAGGCGACGAUCCAUAGCUGGUCUGAGAGGAUGAUCAGCCACGCUGGGACUGAGACACGGCCCACACUCCUACGGGAGGCAGCAGUGGUGAAGAUUGGACAAUGGGCGAAAGCCUGAUCCAGCAAUGCCGCGUGAGGGAUGAAGGCCUUAUGGUUGUAAAGCUCUUUUACCCGGGAUGAUAAUGACAGUACCUGGAGAAUAAGCUCCGGCUAACUCCGGGC
This 434-nucleotide ribosomal RNA is filed under the name uncultured bacterium. RNAcentral's name for it is "partial 16S ribosomal RNA". It matches the Rfam family "Bacterial small subunit ribosomal RNA", at positions 29 to 508 of the family's 1533-position model. The record is from RNAcentral.